Molecule: non-coding RNA, 110 nt
Filed under: bovine gut metagenome
Also listed under: 1 other name
Description: FMN riboswitch (RFN element)
Rfam family: FMN riboswitch aptamer (RFN element)
About the family: The RFN element is a highly conserved domain that is found frequently in the 5'-untranslated regions of prokaryotic mRNAs that encode for flavin mononucleotide (FMN) biosynthesis and transport proteins. This element is a metabolite-dependent riboswitch that directly binds FMN in the absence of proteins.
Source: RNAcentral
CGUCUUCAGGGCGUGGUGCAAUUCCCGACCGGCGGUGAGAGUCCGCGAGCCACUUGUGGCCGACAAGGUGCGAUUCCUUGACCGACAGUAGAGUCUGGAUGGAAGAAGGC